GAUGAACGCUGGCGGCGUGCCUAAUACAUGCAAGUCGAGCGAACGGACGAGAAGCUUGCUUCUCUGAUGUUAGCGGCGGACGGGUGAGUAACACGUGGAUAACCUACCUAUAAGACUGGGAUAACUUCGGGAAACCGGAGCUAAUACCGGAUAAUAUUUUGAACCGCAUGGUUCAAAAGUGAAAGACGGUCUUGCUGUCACUUAUAGAUGGAUCCGCGCUGCAUUAGCUAGUUGGUAAGGUAACGGCUUACCAAGGCAACGAUGCAUAGCCGACCUGAGAGGGUGAUCGGCCACACUGGAACUGAGACACGGUCCAGACUCCUACGGGAGGCAGCAGUAGGGAAUCUUCCGCAAUGGGCGAAAGCCUGACGGAGCAACGCCGCGUGAGUGAUGAAGGUCUUCGGAUCGUAAAACUCUGUUAUUAGGGAAGAACAUAUGUGUAAGUAACUGUGCACAUCUUGACGGUACCUAAUCAGAAAGCCACGGCUAACUACGUGCCAGCAGCCGCGGUAAUACGUAGGUGGCAAGCGUUAUCCGGAAUUAUUGGGCGUAAAGCGCGCGUAGGCGGUUUUUUAAGUCUGAUGUGAAAGCCCACGGCUCAACCGUGGAGGGUCAUUGGAAACUGGAAAACUUGAGUGCAGAAGAGGAAAGUGGAAUUCCAUGUGUAGCGGUGAAAUGCGCAGAGAUAUGGAGGAACACCAGUGGCGAAGGCGACUUUCUGGUCUGUAACUGACGCUGAUGUGCGAAAGCGUGGGGAUCAAACAGGAUUAGAUACCCUGGUAGUCCACGCCGUAAACGAUGAGUGCUAAGUGUUAGGGGGUUUCCGCCCCUUAGUGCUGCAGCUAACGCAUUAAGCACUCCGCCUGGGGAGUACGACCGCAAGGUUGAAACCCAAAGGAAUUGACGGGGACCCGCACAAGCGGUGGAGCAUGUGGUUUAAUUCGAAGCAACGCGAAGAACCUUACCAAAUCUUGACAUCCUUUGACAACUCUAGAGAUAGAGCCUUCCCCUUCGGGGGACAAAGUGACAGGUGGUGCAUGGUUGUCGUCAGCUCGUGUCGUGAGAUGUUGGGUUAAGUCCCGCAACGAGCGCAACCCUUAAGCUUAGUUGCCAUCAUUAAGUUGGGCACUCUAAGUUGACUGCCGGUGACAAACCGGAGGAAGGUGGGGAUGACGUCAAAUCAUCAUGCCCCUUAUGAUUUGGGCUACACACGUGCUACAAUGGACAAUACAAAGGGCAGCGAAACCGCGAGGUCAAGCAAAUCCCAUAAAGUUGUUCUCAGUUCGGAUUGUAGUCUGCAACUCGACUACAUGAAGCUGGAAUCGCUAGUAAUCGUAGAUCAGCAUGCUACGGUGAAUACGUUCCCGGGUCU
This 1372-nucleotide ribosomal RNA is filed under the name uncultured bacterium. Its description in RNAcentral is "bacterial SSU rRNA". It matches the Rfam family "Bacterial small subunit ribosomal RNA", at positions 28 to 1381 of the family's 1533-position model. The record is from RNAcentral.